ACAAUAACCACGCGUCCUAUGUCUAUAUAGUUAAUUAGUUCAGACCACUGAGCUAUACUUAAUAUAUCUGGAGAUCGUGCUCCAAUACCUCGUCAGUCAAAAAUGUGUGACCAAAAACAUGGCGGCCGAUUUUGGCCAAAUUUACGUCAUUUUGGCGUCACAAUCGACCUAAAUUUAUGGUGAACACCGCUGACCUUAAAUACUAAAGUGAAGAAAAAAGUUAUUCACACCCCC
Paramuricea clavata is the source of this 234-nucleotide non-coding RNA. Lineage: Eukaryota; Metazoa; Cnidaria; Anthozoa; Malacalcyonacea; Plexauridae. The record is from the annotation of a GenBank genome assembly.